RNAcentral lists this ribosomal RNA (498 nucleotides) under uncultured bacterium. Its description in RNAcentral is "bacterial SSU rRNA". It matches the Rfam family "Bacterial small subunit ribosomal RNA", at positions 66 to 543 of the family's 1533-position model. The record is from RNAcentral.
ACGCGAAAGCCCCCUUCGGGGGGCAAGUAGAGUGGCGCACGGGUGAGUAACACGUAGGUAAUCUACCUUUGGAUUGGGAAUAACCACCGGAAACGGUGGCUAAUACCGAAUAAUGCAGCGGCACCUAAUGGUGACAGUUGUUAAAGCGGGGGAUCGCAAGACCUCGCGUCUGAAGAGGAGCCUGCGGCGGAUUAGCUAGUUGGUAAGGUAACGGCUUACCAAGGCGAUGAUCCGCAGCCGGCCUGAGAGGGCGGUCGGCCACACUGACACUGACAUACGGGUCAGACUCCUACGGGAGGCAGCAGUCGGGAAUUUUGGGCAAUGGGCGAAAGCCUGACCCAGCAACGCCGCGUGAAGGAUGAAAUCCUUCGGGAUGUAAACUUCGCAAGAACGGGAAGAAUAAGUAGGGGACAAUACCCUCUACGAUGACGGUACUGUUUGUAAGCUCCGGCUAACUCCGUGCCAGCAGCCGCGGUAAUACGGGGGGAGCAAGCGUUG